GUGGGGAAUAUUGGACAAUGGGCGAAAGCCUGAUCCAGCCAUGCCGCGUGUGUGAAGAAGGUCUUCGGAUUGUAAAGCACUUUAAGUUGGGAGGAAGGGCAGUAAGUUAAUACCUUGCUGUUUUGACGUUACCGACAGAAUAAGCACCGGCUAACUCCGUGCCAGCAGCCGCGGUAAUACGGAGGGUGCAAGCGUUAUCCGGAUUUAUUGGGUUUAAAGGGUCCGUAGGCGGAUCGUUAAGUCAGUGGUGAAAUCCUACCGCUCAACGGUAGAACUGCCAUUGAUACUGGCGAUCUUGAGUAUGUAUGAAGUUGGCGGAAUGUGUGGUGUAGCGGUGAAAUGCUUAGAUAUCACACAGAACACCGAUUGCGAAGGCAGCUGACUAAUACACAACUGACGCUGAGGGACGAAAGUGUGGGGAUCAAACAGGAUUAGAAACCCCGGUAGUCC
This 450-nucleotide ribosomal RNA is filed under the name uncultured bacterium. RNAcentral's name for it is "partial 16S ribosomal RNA". It matches the Rfam family "Bacterial small subunit ribosomal RNA", at positions 354 to 796 of the family's 1533-position model. The record is from RNAcentral.